RNAcentral lists this ribosomal RNA (608 nucleotides) under Sphingomonas melonis. RNAcentral describes it as "bacterial SSU rRNA". It matches the Rfam family "Bacterial small subunit ribosomal RNA", at positions 106 to 749 of the family's 1533-position model. Lineage: Bacteria; Pseudomonadati; Pseudomonadota; Alphaproteobacteria; Sphingomonadales; Sphingomonadaceae. The record is from RNAcentral.
GUGCGUAACGCGUGGGAAUCUGCCCUCAGGUUCGGAAUAACAGCGAGAAAUUGCUGCUAAUACCGGAUGAUAUCGCGAGAUCAAAGAUUUAUCGCCUGAGGAUGAGCCCGCGUAGGAUUAGCUAGUUGGUGUGGUAAAGGCGCACCAAGGCGACGAUCCUUAGCUGGUCUGAGAGGAUGAUCAGCCACACUGGGACUGAGACACGGCCCAGACUCCUACGGGAGGCAGCAGUGGGGAAUAUUGGACAAUGGGCGAAAGCCUGAUCCAGCAAUGCCGCGUGAGUGAUGAAGGCCUUAGGGUUGUAAAGCUCUUUUACCCGGGAUGAUAAUGACAGUACCGGGAGAAUAAGCUCCGGCUAACUCCGUGCCAGCAGCCGCGGUAAUACGGAGGGAGCUAGCGUUAUUCGGAAUUACUGGGCGUAAAGCGCACGUAGGCGGCUUUGUAAGUUAGAGGUGAAAGCCUGGAGCUCAACUCCAGAAUUGCCUUUAAGACUGCAUCGCUUGAAUCCAGGAGAGGUGAGUGGAAUUCCGAGUGUAGAGGUGAAAUUCGUAGAUAUUCGGAAGAACACCAGUGGCGAAGGCGGCUCACUGGACUGGUAUUGACGCUGA